Molecule: ribosomal RNA, 446 nt
Filed under: uncultured bacterium
Lineage: Bacteria
Description: partial 16S ribosomal RNA
Rfam family: Bacterial small subunit ribosomal RNA
Source: RNAcentral
GGCCAGACUCCUACGGGAGGCAGCAGUGGGGGAUAUUGCACAAUGGGGGAAACCCUGAUGCAGCGACGCCGCGUGAGUGAAAAAGUAAUUCGUUACGUAAAGCUCUAUCAGCAGGGAAGAAAAUGACGGUACCUGGAGAAGAAGCCCCGGCUAACUACGUGCCAGCAGCCGCGGUAAUACGUAGGGGGCAAGCGUUAUCCGGAUUUACUGGGUGUAAAGGGGGCGCAGACGGCGAUGCAAGCCAGGAGUGAAAGCCCGGGGCCCAACCCCGGGACUGCUCUUGGAACUGCGUGGCUGGAGUGCAGGAGGGGCAGGCGGAAUUCCUGGUGUAGCGGUGAAAUGCGUAGAUAUCAGGAGGAACACCGGUGGCGAAGGCGGCCUGCUGGACUGCAACUGACGUUGAGGCUCGAAAGCGUGGGGAGCAAACAGGAUUAGAUACCCUCGUA